AUUGAACGCUGGCGGCAGGCCUAACACAUGCAAGUCGAACGAGUGGCGGACGGGUGAGUAAUGUCUGGGAAACUGCCUGAUGGAGGGGGAUAACUACUGGAAACGGUAGCUAAUACCGCAUACCAUCAGAUGUGCCCAGAUGGGAUUAGCUUGUUGGUGGGGUAACGGCUCACAAAGGCGACGAUCCCUCGCUGGUCUGAGAGGAUGACCAGCCACACUGGAACUUGGACACGGUCCCGACGCCGAAGGUAGGCAGCAGUGGGGAGAAUUGCACAAGGGGCGCAAGACUGAUGCAGCCAUGCCGCGUGUAUGAAGAAGGCCUUCGGGUUGUAAAGUACUUUCAGCGGGGAGGCGUUACCCGCAGAAGAAGCACCGGCUAACUCCGUGACAGCAGCCGCGGUAAUUC
Molecule: ribosomal RNA, 406 nt
Filed under: uncultured bacterium
Lineage: Bacteria
Description: partial 16S ribosomal RNA
Rfam family: Bacterial small subunit ribosomal RNA
Source: RNAcentral